This 419-nucleotide ribosomal RNA is filed under the name bacterium. RNAcentral's name for it is "partial 16S ribosomal RNA". It matches the Rfam family "Bacterial small subunit ribosomal RNA", at positions 355 to 776 of the family's 1533-position model. The record is from RNAcentral.
UGGGGGAUAUUGCACAAUGGGCGAAAGCCUGAUGCAGCGACGCCGCGUGGGGGAUGAAGGCCUUCGGGUUGUAAACUUCUUUUGCUCUGAACAAGGCGCACCAUGGGGUGUGUUGAGUGUAGGGGUUGAUUAGCGCCGGCUAACUACGUGCCAGCAGCCGCGGUAACACGUAGGGCGCGAGCGUUGUCCGGAAUUAUUGGGCGUAAAGGGCUUGUAGGUGGCUGGUUGCGUCUGUCGUGAAAGCUCAUGGCUUAACUGUGGGUUUGCGGUGGGUACGGGCUGGCUUGAGUGCAGUAGGGGAGGCUGGAAUUCCUGGUGUAGCGGUGGAAUGCGCAGAUAUCAGGAGGAAUACCGGUGGCGAAGGCGGGUCUCUGGGCUGUUACUGACACUGAGGAGCGAAAGCAUGGGGAGCGAACAGG